RNAcentral lists this long non-coding RNA (176 nucleotides) under Ictidomys tridecemlineatus (thirteen-lined ground squirrel). Its description in RNAcentral is "lncRNA (ENSSTOG00000034541.1)". Lineage: Eukaryota; Metazoa; Chordata; Mammalia; Rodentia; Sciuridae. The record is from RNAcentral.
CAGUUCCUGUGAGUCCGAUUUUGAGAUGGGACAACUGCGCCGAGGUUUGCCGAGGGUGGCAUGUUCCUUGUUCCUUUGCAGGAGGGAUCACUGGCUUUUGUAGAAGUGCAAACAGCUGAAUUGGACGAUCCAGACUCUAGGGGUCUGAGAAUAGAGAAUAGAUGAACUUUGCCAGG